RNAcentral lists this ribosomal RNA (397 nucleotides) under uncultured bacterium. Its description in RNAcentral is "partial 16S ribosomal RNA". It matches the Rfam family "Bacterial small subunit ribosomal RNA", at positions 523 to 918 of the family's 1533-position model. The record is from RNAcentral.
AUACGUAGGGGGCGAGCGUUGUCCGGAAUGAUUGGGCGUAAAGGGCGCGUAGGCGGCCCGGUAAGUCUGGAGUGAAAGUCCUGUUUUUAAGAUGGGAAUUGCUUUGGAUACUGUCGGGCUUGAGUGCAGGAGCGGUAAGUGGAAUUCCCAGUGUAGCGGUGAACUGCGUAGAGAUUGGGAGGAACACCAGUGGCGAAGGCGACUUACUGGACUGUAACUGACACUGAGGCGCGAAAGUGUGGGGAGCAAACAGGAUUAGAUACCCUGGUAGUCCACACUGUAAACGAUGAAUGCUAGGUGUAGGGGGUAUCGACCCCUUCUGUGCCGCAGUCAACACAAUAAGCAUUCCGCCUGGGGAGUACGGCCGCAAGGUUGAAACUCAAAUGAAUUGACGGGG